RNAcentral lists this ribosomal RNA (301 nucleotides) under uncultured bacterium. RNAcentral describes it as "partial 16S ribosomal RNA". It matches the Rfam family "Bacterial small subunit ribosomal RNA", at positions 509 to 807 of the family's 1533-position model. The record is from RNAcentral.
CAGCCGCCGCGGGAACACGUAGGGUGCAAGCGUUAAUCGGAAUUACUGGGCGUAAAGCGUGCGCAGGCGGUGAUGUAAGACAGUUGUGAAAUCCCCGGGCUCAACCUGGGAACUGCAUUUGUGACUGGCGAGCUAGAGUAUGGCAGAGGGGGGUAGAAUUCCACGUGUAGCAGUGAAAUGCGUAGAGAUGUGGAGGAAUACCGAUGGCGAAGGCAGCCCCCUGGGCCAAUACUGACGCUCAUGCACGAAAGCGUGGGGAGCAAACAGGAUUAGAUACCCCCGUAGUCCCUGUCUCUUAUAC